This 853-nucleotide long non-coding RNA is filed under the name Ananas comosus (pineapple). RNAcentral's name for it is "long non-coding RNA (ACOM_LNC033674)". The record is from RNAcentral. Lineage: Eukaryota; Viridiplantae; Streptophyta; Magnoliopsida; Poales; Bromeliaceae.
UCAUUACAAGUGGUGUUGGAUACUUAGGGCGUGUUUGGUUCGAAGUCGGAGUCGGAAUCGGAAUCGGAAUCAAAAUAAGCUGGAAUCGAAAUCGGAAUGGCUCAUUACCUAAUUCUGUUUGGUUCAUCACCUAAAUCGGAAUCGGAAUAAAUUAUUCCCAUUGUUGGUGUUUGGUUCAGGUGGAUAUAAAAAACGUAAUCAAAUUAAUAUACUAACAUUAUCUUUAUAAUAUAUUAAUUUAAAUUCAAAUUAAAAAUUAAAUAUUAAAAAUUUAUAUCAAAAUUUUGAAAUAGUGUCAAGAUUUUAAAUCUAUUUUUUUUUUAAAAAAUUAAACUUUGAAGUUGAAUGGAUAAUUCAAAAUAUGAAACUAAAUUUUGAUUUAUUCAAAUUCAAACUUAAAAUUACAAUUUAAAUUUUAAUUUGAAUCCAUAAAUUUAAUUUAACUUUGAAAUAAAAUUUAAAUAAAACUUCAUAUAAAUUAAAAUUUAAUUUAAAUUCAAAUUCGUAAAUUAUAUUCGAAAUACUUGAUUAAAUUUUAAUUUUUAUUUAAGUUCAAAUUAAAAUUUAAAAAUAUAUAUUUAAUUUUUAAAUUUUAACUCAUAUUUUAAUUAAAAAAGUUAAAAAAGUAAAUUUAAUCCGAAUAAAUAUUCAUUCCGUCCGGAUUCAACUUCCAAUCCAGCCUCCUAAGCCGGAUUGAAAAAAUGGGUGAUUGGGAGAUUCCCAUUCCACUCGGGAAUCGGAAUCGGAAUGAGAAUCCCGCGUACAAAACACCCACAAACGGAUUCAUUCAUUCCGAUUCCGAUUCCAGAGUAAAAAAGAAGCGAACCAAGCACGCCCUUAAAUUUCUUCUUUU